UCUUAUCUCCAAUAGCUGGCUUAGAACACGCACCGUGUACCUAAAAGUUUCAAAAGGCAGGAAACAGAAGAGAGAGGAUUCUAGACGAGAGAAAAAAAAAAGGAGCACAACCGGCAGGCGGCAUGCCAAGAAAGGAAAGGAAACCCGUGUCCCAAACCCAUAUCAUGAGCCACAUAUCACUGGACUGUCUCGCACUGUCAACACCUAAUAAUCCCCCACCUCCCUAUCG
RNAcentral lists this long non-coding RNA (229 nucleotides) under Setaria viridis. RNAcentral's name for it is "long non-coding RNA (SVIR_LNC002989)". Lineage: Eukaryota; Viridiplantae; Streptophyta; Magnoliopsida; Poales; Poaceae. The record is from RNAcentral.